UACAGGGGGUGCAAACGUUGCUCGGAAUCAUUGGGCGUAAAGCGCACGUAGGCGGCAUGGUAAGUAGGGUGUGAAAUCCCUCGGCUCAACCGAGGAAUUGCGCUCUAAACUACCGUGCUAGAGGAAGCUAGAGGUGAGCGGAACUGAUGGUGGAGCGGUGAAAUGCGUUGAUAUCAUCAGGAACACCGGAGGCGAAGGCGGCUCACUGGGGCUUUUCUGACGCUGAGGAACGAAAGCCAGGGUAGCGAACGGG
This 253-nucleotide ribosomal RNA is filed under the name uncultured bacterium. Its description in RNAcentral is "partial 16S ribosomal RNA". It matches the Rfam family "Bacterial small subunit ribosomal RNA", at positions 524 to 776 of the family's 1533-position model. The record is from RNAcentral.